RNAcentral lists this transfer RNA (87 nucleotides) under Candidatus Magasanikbacteria bacterium CG10_big_fil_rev_8_21_14_0_10_47_10. RNAcentral's name for it is "tRNA-Leu". It matches the Rfam family "tRNA". Rfam says of the family: Transfer RNA (tRNA) molecules are approximately 80 nucleotides in length. Their secondary structure includes four short double-helical elements and three loops (D, anti-codon, and T loops). Further hydrogen bonds mediate the characteristic L-shaped molecular structure. tRNAs have two regions of fundamental functional importance: the anti-codon, which is responsible for specific mRNA codon recognition, and the 3' end, to which the tRNAs corresponding amino acid is attached (by aminoacyl-tRNA synthetases). tRNAs cope with the degeneracy of the genetic code in two manners: having more than one tRNA (with a specific anti-codon) for a particular amino acid; and 'wobble' base-pairing, i.e. permitting non-standard base-pairing at the 3rd anti-codon position. Lineage: Bacteria; Candidatus Magasanikiibacteriota. The record is from RNAcentral.
GCUGGAGUGGCGGAACUGGUAGACGCGCUAGCUUCAGGUGCUAGUGACCGUAAGGUCGUGGAGGUUCGAGUCCUCUCUCCAGCACAA